Molecule: non-coding RNA, 148 nt
Filed under: Pan troglodytes (chimpanzee)
Lineage: Eukaryota; Metazoa; Chordata; Mammalia; Primates; Hominidae
Source: Rfam by way of RNAcentral
GCUGGGUGUGGUGGUGUGCGCCUGUAAUCCCAGCUACUCAGGAGGCUGAGGCAGGAGAAUCGCUUGUACCCAGGAGGUGGAGGUUGCAGUGAGCCGAGAUCACGCCACUGCACUCCAGCCUGGGCAACAUAGUGAGACUCUAUCUCAA